This 252-nucleotide ribosomal RNA is filed under the name uncultured bacterium. RNAcentral describes it as "partial 16S ribosomal RNA". It matches the Rfam family "Bacterial small subunit ribosomal RNA", at positions 524 to 776 of the family's 1533-position model. The record is from RNAcentral.
UACGGAGGAUGCGAGCGUUAUCCGGAUUUAUUGGGUUUAAAGGGUGCGUAGGCGGACGCUUAAGUCAGCGGUAAAAUUGCGGGGCUCAACCUCGUCGAGCCGUUGAAACUGGGUGCCUUGAGUGGGCGAGAAGUACGCGGAAUGCGUGAUGUAGCGGUGAAAUGCAUAGAUAUCACGCAGAACUCCGAUUGCGAAGGCAGCGUACCGGCGCCCUACUGACGCUGAAGCACGAAGGCGUGGGUAUCGAACAGG